RNAcentral lists this ribosomal RNA (497 nucleotides) under uncultured bacterium. RNAcentral describes it as "partial 16S ribosomal RNA". It matches the Rfam family "Bacterial small subunit ribosomal RNA", at positions 28 to 507 of the family's 1533-position model. The record is from RNAcentral.
GAUGAACGCUGGCGGCGUGCCUAAUACAUGCAAGUCGAGCGAACGGACGAGAAGCUUGCUUUUCUUAUGUUAGCGGCGGACGGGUGAGUAACACGUGGAUAACCUACCUAUAAGACUGGGAUAACUUCGGGAAACCGGAUCUAAUACCGGAUAAUAUUUUGAACCUCAUGGUUCAAAAGUGAAAGCCGGUCUUGCUGUCACUUAUAGAUGUAUCCGCGCUGCAUUAGCUAGUUGGUAAGGUAACGGCUUACCAAGGCAACGAUGCAUAGCCGACCUGAGAGGGUGAUCGGCCACACUGGAACUGAGACACGGUCCAGACUCCUACGGGAGGCAGCAGUAGGGAAUCUUCCGCAAUGGGCGAAAGCCUGACGGAGCAACGCCGCGUGAGUGAUGAAGGUCUUCGGAUCGUAAAACUCUGUUAUUAGGGAAGAACAUAUGUGUAAGUAACUGUGCACAUCUUGACGGUACCUAAUCAGAAAGCCACGGCUAACUACGUG